RNAcentral lists this long non-coding RNA (273 nucleotides) under Erythranthe guttata (spotted monkey flower). RNAcentral's name for it is "long non-coding RNA (EGUT_LNC001064)". The record is from RNAcentral. Lineage: Eukaryota; Viridiplantae; Streptophyta; Magnoliopsida; Lamiales; Phrymaceae.
GAAAGCUCUAUGUUCUUCACUUAUACUAAUUAAUUAAUUGUUCCAUAUGUUUCUAUUUAUUUAUUUAUUUUAAUUUUUUUUGACAGUUCCAUAUGUUUGUUUGGAGGCGAUUUACACACAGAAAAAAUGAACAAACAUCCGAUUUUCGAUUCGCAAAUAAUAAUAAUACAACAAAUGGAAGUCUAAGUUCAAGACAAGAACAAUACAAAAAACAAUAAUUAAAAAUAAAUAUUAAAUCUGCAAAUUACACACUCGUGUCUAUGAUCACUCACA